AGAGAGAAGAGGCAGUUUUACUGGGACAGUAAUAGAGAGACAGGCUGAAGACAAAGAACUCAGGUGAAGACCAAAUGAGCCAGAGAAUGAGAAAGAGACAAAAGAUUAGAGAGGAUUGCUGGAGCUAGUUUGAGGCCAAGGAGAGCAAUUGAGGAGCCGAGAGAGAAGCCAGAUUAAGUCAACUGGGAGAGAAGUUUGAGCCAGAACAGCUGAAUUGAACCAGCCAGGCCAGAGCUCAGAAAGAACAAGAAAGGGUGAGCUUAUUCAGCAGUAAGUCUCAGAGGCUGAAAACAUUCAAGGCCUAGAUUGUAUGGAGGCUAGAAGCUUCCAGGGUUAGGCCUAGAUUAGCAGACAGAGGAAGUAAUACCUUGUGACAACAAUUCCCCCAGGAGAAUAAAAGCUACAUUUACACACACAAUAAAUAAAUUGUGUAUCACUGGUACUGGAAGUGACCCAGCUCACAGUGCUUGAUGAAGACAGUGGAUUCUUACCUCAGUGGCUCAGAGUGACCUUUUCCAUCCCAGUGUGCAGGUACUUGAAGAUGCCAGAAGAGGGAGUUGGAGCUGGAGAGUUGUGAGUUGUCUGGCAUGGGCACUGGAAACUGAACUCAGGUCCUCUGGAAGAACAGCAAACACUUGUGAACACUGAGCUCUUUCCAUCCCAGCCACUUGUUAAGUGCCUGUCUUCUUGAAUGGGCUCACACUUUACUGCUGAGGUAGUAGAUUCCUCACACACAAGGUGUUUCAGAUGUCAGAUAGACACGCGUGUGGAGGUCAGAAGACAACUGGUCUCUGAAGUAAUUGAGCAGCACCUCUCAUGUGCUAAGAAGACUCACACAGGCCCUCAGAAGCGGUGUGAAGCUGCUGCUUUGUCUACUACAAUGAGUAUGGAGAAGGAUUCCAAGUUAUCAGUCUCUCCUGGAAAUAAGGCAAAUGCUUGAGAGACUCUUUGGGACCUAGAUGACUGAAAUGGUUUUCAAUUUUGAGCAGAUUCUUUUUGUAGAGGAUAUGUUCUUUAAAGGCUUAAAAAUUA
Molecule: long non-coding RNA, 1032 nt
Organism: Psammomys obesus (fat sand rat)
Lineage: Eukaryota; Metazoa; Chordata; Mammalia; Rodentia; Muridae
Exons: 5
Source: RefSeq, a predicted model, not a curated record